RNAcentral lists this ribosomal RNA (497 nucleotides) under uncultured bacterium. RNAcentral describes it as "partial 16S ribosomal RNA". It matches the Rfam family "Bacterial small subunit ribosomal RNA", at positions 28 to 507 of the family's 1533-position model. The record is from RNAcentral.
GACGAACGCUGGCGGCGUGCCUAAUACAUGCAAGUUGAACGCUGAAGGCUGGUACUUGUCCCAACUGGAUGAGCAGCGCACGGGUGAGUAACGCGUGUGGCAUCUCCCUUUGAUCGGGGGACAACAUUUGGAAACGAAUUCUAAUACCGCAUAAAAACUUUAAACACAAGUUUUAAGUUUGAAAGAUGCAAUUGCAUCACUCAAAGAUGAUCCCGCGUUGUAUUAGCUAGUUGGUGAGGUAAAGACUCUCCAAGGCGAUGUUACAUAGCCGACCUGAGAGGAUGAGUGGCCGCAUUGGGAGUGAGACACGGCCCAAAGUCCCUCAGGAGGCAGCAGGAGGGAUUCUUCGGCAAUGGGUGAAAGUCUGACCGAGAAACGCCGCGGCAGGGAGGAAGGAUGUCGGAUCGGAAAACUCGGUUGUUAGAGAAGAACGUUGGUGAGAGUGGAAAGCUCAGCAAGUGACAGUAACUACUCAGAAAGGGACGGCUAACUACGUG